Molecule: small nuclear RNA, 105 nt
Organism: Podarcis muralis (Common wall lizard)
Lineage: Eukaryota; Metazoa; Chordata; Lepidosauria; Squamata; Lacertidae
Source: Ensembl
GUGCUUGCUUCGGCAGCACAUGUACUAGGGUUGGACCGAUAGAGAAGAUUAGCAUGGCCCCUGUGUAAGGAUGACAUGUAGGUUCGUGAAGCGUUCCAUUUAUUA